RNAcentral lists this ribosomal RNA (253 nucleotides) under uncultured bacterium. RNAcentral describes it as "partial 16S ribosomal RNA". It matches the Rfam family "Bacterial small subunit ribosomal RNA", at positions 524 to 776 of the family's 1533-position model. The record is from RNAcentral.
UACGUAGGGUGCGAGCGUUAAUCGGAAUUACUGGGCGUAAAGCGUGCGCAGGCGGUUUUGUAAGCCAGAUGUGAAAUCCCCGGGCUUAACCUGGGAAUGGCAUUUGGGACUGCAAGGCUUGAGUUUGGCAGAGGAGACUGGAAUUCCUGGUGUAGCAGUGAAAUGCGUAGAUAUCAGGAGGAAUACCGAUGGCGAAGGCAGGUCUCUGGGCUAGAACUGACGCUCAUGCACGAAAGCGUGGGGAGCAAACGGG